This 73-nucleotide transfer RNA is filed under the name Camelus bactrianus (Bactrian camel). It matches the Rfam family "tRNA". From Rfam's summary of the family: Transfer RNA (tRNA) molecules are approximately 80 nucleotides in length. Their secondary structure includes four short double-helical elements and three loops (D, anti-codon, and T loops). The record is from Rfam by way of RNAcentral. RNAcentral also lists the same sequence under 3 other names. Lineage: Eukaryota; Metazoa; Chordata; Mammalia; Artiodactyla; Camelidae.
GAGGAUAUAGCUCAAGUGGUAGAGUGCAUGCUUAGCAUGCAUGAGGUCCUGGGUUCAAUCCCCAGUAUCUCCU